Molecule: ribosomal RNA, 256 nt
Filed under: uncultured bacterium
Lineage: Bacteria
Description: partial 16S ribosomal RNA
Rfam family: Bacterial small subunit ribosomal RNA
Source: RNAcentral
UACGUAGGGUGCGAGCGUUAAUCGGAAUUACUGGGCGUAAAGCGUGCGCAGGCGGUUUGUUAAGACAGAUGUGAAAUCCCCCGGGCUUAACCUGGGAAUUGCAUCUGUGACUGCAUAGCUAGAGUACGGUAGAGGGGGAUGGAAUUCCGCGUGUAGCAGUGAAAUGCGUAGAUAUGCGGAGGAACACCGAUGGCGAAGGCAAUCCCCUGGACCUGUACUGACGCUCAUGCACGAAAGCGUGGGGGAGCAAACAGGG